AUCGCUUCUCGGCCUUUUGGCUAAGAUCAAGUGUAGAAAUUUCCUUCUCUUUUUAUGUGUUAGGUUUUAUUUUUCCACAAAUAAACACUGAAUUUUAUCAAAUGUUCAUCUAACAUUUACUAAGAUGAUCAUGU
Molecule: small nuclear RNA, 134 nt
Filed under: Ursus maritimus (polar bear)
Lineage: Eukaryota; Metazoa; Chordata; Mammalia; Carnivora; Ursidae
Also listed under: 1 other name
Description: U2 spliceosomal RNA
Rfam family: U2 spliceosomal RNA
About the family: U2 is a small nuclear RNA (snRNA) component of the spliceosome (involved in pre-mRNA splicing). Complementary binding between U2 snRNA (in an area lying towards the 5' end but 3' to hairpin I) and the branchpoint sequence (BPS) of the intron results the bulging out of an unpaired adenosine, on the BPS, which initiates a nucleophilic attack at the intronic 5' splice site, thus starting the first of two transesterification reactions that mediate splicing.
Source: Rfam by way of RNAcentral